UAUCGGUAACGUAGUGUCGGUGUGAGU
This 27-nucleotide small RNA is filed under the name Bombyx mori (domestic silkworm). RNAcentral's name for it is "piRNA piR-bmo-1298259". Lineage: Eukaryota; Metazoa; Arthropoda; Insecta; Lepidoptera; Bombycidae. The record is from RNAcentral.